UACGUAGGGGGCUAGCGUUGUCCGGAUUUAUUGGGCGUAAAGAGCGUGUAGGCGGCCAGGUAGGUCUGCUGUGAAAACUCGAGGCUCAACCUCGAGACGUCGGCGGAAACCAUCUGGCUAGAGUCCGGAAGAGGAGAGUGGAAUUCCUGGUGUAGCGGAGAAAUGCGCAGAUAUCAGGAAGAACACCCGUGGCGAAGGCGGCUCUCUGGGACGGUACUGACGCUGAGACGCGAAAGCGUGGGGAGCGAACAGG
This 253-nucleotide ribosomal RNA is filed under the name uncultured bacterium. RNAcentral's name for it is "partial 16S ribosomal RNA". It matches the Rfam family "Bacterial small subunit ribosomal RNA", at positions 524 to 776 of the family's 1533-position model. The record is from RNAcentral.